AAAAAUUACUUAUGUUUCUUUAAACAAUUUUCAAUUUAUUCCUCUCUCUACCCUUUUCAUCAUCAACAAUUGCAUUUUUUUUCGUAUUUGAUUACUCAUUUUUUGUUUCUAUAAUUUUGAUAAUCUUGAUUAAAUUUCACACCCGAGAUAAUUUCUUACUCGGAUACACUUUAAUCCUAACAAAAUAAAAAAAAAAAUUGUGAAUCAAAAACACGUUUUUUUCUUGAUUUUUAUUUUUGCACAAGAAAAAACAAAAUAGUGCUUUCCUUUCCCAUGAAAUAGACGUUUAAUUUUUGUAACUCAUUGCGUCCACAACUAGUGUGGCUCUAUUCCCUUAUUGCAUCCUCUUGGACCACUCUUGUGGCUCUAUUCUAUUAUUGCCCCCACCUACCCACUAUCGUAACAGAUUUCAAAUAAAAACUGAAAUAAAUCAUUAAAACUCAAUUUCUUUUUCUAAAAGAAAUAAAAAUCUAUCGUUUACGUGAGUAUGAUAGAUCGGAAAUUGACUCGCCAAACUAAAGGUGGUUGGUCGUUCGAUCAGAUAAUGAGAGGGUUCAAUCAAUGUUUGUUCGAAAAAGUUUCAAAUCAAUAAAUUUCAUAAAAUUAUUUCUUAAUACUAAACCAACGGACUAACAUUUAAUCAUCAAUGAUUAAGAUCAGUUUGAACAUUUUACUCCAAAAUAUGUUAUAUUUUAUUAUUGUAUAUAAAUACUUUUGUUUAUUUGAAGAUAUAGGUUCGAUCUAGAAUAAUAAUAUAAUAAUAAUUGGUGACAUAGAAAACAUCUUUUAAAAUUCACAAUUAUUGUUCUGAAUAAAACAUAUGUUUAUAAGUUUCAACUAAAGAAACAAAAUCAAGUUUUGUCGUUGGUUUUUUUUAUAAUACUUCCCAAAAAUUUGAAAAGAAAAAAUUAUUUCAAUUAAUUAACAAAUAGUUUGUUUUUUUUUUUUAAAUAAGCUAAUUUUUUUAGAAAUUUUCAAAAUCAACAAAUUUUUUUUAUAUGAAUGUAAAAUGUUUUGGUUUUUUUUUUUCUAUUUAGAAAAGAAACCCAUAAAUAAAUGUCAUAAUACUGUGAAUGCAGUCAAUAAAUAAUGAAUGAUAUUUAAUUGAAAGAGAAAGGCACACAUAAAUGACAAUAAAUAACGAUCACUAUUUUAGAAAAAAUGAAUGAGAAGUCUUUUCUAAUAUUUACAAAAAAAGAAAAAGAAAAAAACUAAAAUAAAUUUAGUUGAGCACUGAUUGACGUUACUUUAGACGUGACUGCACAGUGUACAUCAUAAAUAUAGGAAGUUUAAUUUCUCCUAACUACGACAGUUGUAUUCUACUAAAAAAUAAUCCGAUAAUACUAAAAGAAAUGGUAAUUCUCUACUUAAAUCUUCCAAUUAUUUAAAAAAAUUGAUGUUUUUUCUAAAAUAAGAAGUAGUUAGGUAAAAUAAGUGAAUUUUUUUAAAAUAAGAAUAUUAAUAAUAAUUAAAAUAAUAAUGAUAAUAAUUAAAAAUAAUAGAUUAAAUAAGAUGGGCCCACCGACGCAUUCUAAUAGAACAAAAAAUUUACCAAUUUACCUAAAUACUUUUAAAAACACUAAUUUUUUUUUCUUUUAAAAAAAUCCCUUUUUCAAAUCACCCUAAAUCUUCAAACAUUUAAAGAUUAAAAUGAACUUUUAAUAUUUGAGGUUUAAAGUUAAUUUUAAAAUUAAUUCAAUAUAAUUUAUACUAAUGUACAUGUCAAUCCUUAAAAUUAACUUAUUGACCAUUUAGAAGUAUUUAAAAACCAUGUGGAUCAAAGUGUUUAAACUUUCAAGAUCAAAUAGACAUAAACUUCAAACUCUAUGAACCACAAGUCCAUUUUAUCCAAAUUUUUUUCUCCUAAAUUCAUAUUUAUUUUUAUAAAUUAAAUAUGUCAACUCAUUUCAAGUUUUUUUGUUUCAAUUUUAUAAUGAAGAUGACACACAAUUACAUAACUUUACAUGCACAUUUUUUUAAUAUUAUUUUCGAAGAAAGACCAAACUUUUUCAAUAUUUUAUCAUACAUUUUUUUCUUUUUUUUCAAAACUUUCCUUUCCACAUCAUUCCGUCUCAAAAUAUUUAUAAUCUUUAUAUUAUCAUGUAAUUAUCUUUUUUAUACAAAUGAUGAUUCAAAAUAAUUCAUUAUAAUUCGAUUAAGCCACCCUCUAAAUAUCAUUAAUCUAACCGUUUAAAUUUUUAAUUUUGUUCAAAAAUAGAAAAAUUUAACAAAUUGUUUACACCCGAACAAAACACUGAAUUUCAUACAUCAAAGGUGGAUAAAAAUGUUUAAACAAAAAAAGGGAGAAAGAGAGAAUAGUAUUAAAAUAGAGGCGUGUGUAUGAAGCUAUUUGAUAGGCCAAUACUCUUCUCUUCUUCAACCACUUGCCCACACGGAUGUAUCAAUAAGUUCUUGUUGUGGCUGCGUGCCUAUAGUUAUUUUCGCUUUGAAUUUGUAAACGAUAUUUUUUUUUUAUGAUGUAGGUUUAUUUGAUCUUGCACCGUUCGUAUCAAACAGUAUACUUUUUGUUUCAUGAACGAGCGAAACGUUUAGCAAAUUCAAAUGGACAGUGAUAAAUCAUCGUUUCAGCAUUAAUUGAUUUUGUACCUUUACUAUUUCGUAUAGCAUAAAAUUUCCAACAAUUUCAAUCUUUCAUUAGCUUUCCUCAAACUUCAUUAUCAUUGGUUUUGUAUUUUUGGAACUACCAGCCCAUUGCCCUUGUUCCUCGUACGAACAAGUUUUCUUGAUUUUUUUUUUGUUCAUAGAAAGUUGGAUUUGGAAGGAUUCAGAGUUUCAAUGGCGGGUGGAUUUGGAGGAAUAUGCGCGGGUUUUCGUUCAAUGGCGUUGACGAUGUUCAACUUUGCUGUAGUUUUGGCUUUGGUUUCCGGCGAGAGAAAAAUGAAGCUCGAAGGAAGUUCUGAAGAUUUGAAUCUGUUUCAAGGAGCUUUGAAUUUCUUGUGGCAAUCGGAUAAAACAGGGUAUCAUCAUGUUUGGCCUGUAAGUUGCCGUAAGAACUCUUGUUAUUUAUGGAGAUGAAAACAAAAAUCCUAGUGCAAUCAAGUUUGUUUUGUUUAUGUUUAUGGCUAUGUUUACGUUUUUCUCUAAUCAUUUUCAUACUUCUCAAAUUUGAGUUUAAAAGAAAACUUAGUUUAGAUGUUUGAACUUAACUUUGAGUUGUUAUGUUAGAAUAAUUUUUGGUUUUGAGAGUUUAACUCCUCGUGUUCAUAAACUAAGUUGUUCUCCUUUUGGAGCUUUUUCCUUUGGGAACUCUUAUUUUAGACUUGUUUUGAUUCAGAUCUAACCAAUCAGUGUUUCUUUUUGGAUUGUUUAUGGUUUCGUUGUGAAAAUGGAUUUCUGUAAAUUAUUUUGAUUAGUGAGUUAUUGUAAGACCUUUUAGAAAGGUUAUAUUCAAAGUUGGAAAAGGUAUUGAGAUUUAGGUUAGCCGUAUGGCUAAACUAUAGUUUAUUCAAGCUUCACAUAGACUUUCAUCUCAAAUUUGUAAUGAGGUUCUUAGGUAUGAUCGAAAUUAUGAAUAAGACCAUGAGAAAAGUGAAUGAAUUAAUUGUAUAUUUUAAUAUUGUUUGCAGGAAAUGGCAUUUGGGUGGCAGAUUGUAGUUGGUUCUGUUAUUGGAUUUAUGGGUGCUGCAUUUGGAAGUGUAGGAGGUGUUGGUGGUGGGGGAAUUUAUGUUCCUAUGCUUAGUUUAAUCAUUGGGUUCGAUCCAAAAUCAUCUACAGCUAUAUCGAAAUGUAUGAGGAAUGAUCUUUGUAAUAUCAAAUCGGCUCGAAUCUGCUCAGGAUUUGUUCUUAAUAUGUCUAAUUUGUAUAGUUUUUCUUGAUUCUUUUGUUUUCUUAAGGUAUGAUAAUGGGAGCAGCAGCAUCAACCGUCUAUUAUAAUCUUAAACUAAGACAUCCAACACUUGAACUUCCUAUCAUUGACUAUGAUUUGGUUCUUCUUAUCAUGCCUAUGCUCAUGUUGGGCAUCAGCGUUGGGGUAGUUUUUAAUGUCAUAUUUGCUGAUUGGAUGGUUACUGUCCUCCUUAUCGUUCUCUUCUUAGGUAAUGUAGAGACGUAUCUCAUUCAACUUCAUACUGAAUGAUUUCGUUCUGCUCUGUUAAUCUUCUGGCUGAUAUUUGUGUUUUGUAGCUACGUCAACGAAAUCGUUUUUGAAGGGUGUUGAAACUUGGAAGAAGGAAACCAUAAUGAAAACGGUCAGUACUUAAACUUGGAACUUCAAGUUUCUUCUGCAUGUAGUUUCGAUUAUAUGGUUAAAAUAAAAUUUGUGGUGCUGUAAACUGUAAAGUCCUUUGAUCAUACAUUGUUGUUUUUUAACAAUAUUGGAUGCCAUUUCUUUUCAACUUUUAGGAGGCUGCUAGGCGUGCUGAAUCAAAUGGUGAGACAAUUUACUGUUUAUCUUAUCAAGAUGGUGAUAAUCCUUGUUCUUAUUUCAUAUUCCACCUUUUGUAAAAUUAGAUAUUCAAGCCGAUACAGCAUAUGCUCCUCUUCCCAGUGGACCGAGCCAUAGGCCUGAAACGAACAACACUGAUCGAGAGGUAAGUUCAUUCAUAGUUAUAGAUGAUGACAUAAUUGAAUGUGCUGUAUCAUGUUAACGUAGAUUAUUUUAUGAUAAAGAAGUAUCUAUUGUAAGAUAUGUUUAUGCCAGAUAUGUUUUGGUUGUAUCUUGGUCUUGGUGUAGAUCAUCUGCCCUCUUUCAUUAGUAUAUCUUUACAACCCUCUUGUACUAUUGGAGAGAUUUUAUGAACUCUUGAAAUUCCCCUUUUCUAAUUUCAUUCCAUGAACGAAAUUGUUUCUUUUCUGUAUAUUUUACCAAACAAAAGAUUACCAGAAAUGAGAAUGCUGAAUUAUGAUUGAAAUGGCAGGUUCCAAUUCUCGAGAACGUGUAUUGGAAAGAAAUGGGUCUUCUUUUAUUAGUUUGGUUUGCAUUUCUUGCAAUACAGAUUACCAAGGUUUUUGCCUCUUCUUUCCAUUUUCAACAUCAACUCUUUACUCUUGAUUUGGCAAUCUCAAUAAUCUGUCCCUCUCUUGUUGGAAACAGAAGCAUUCACCCAAUUGUUCAUGGGAAUACUGGCUACUGAACUUCCUGCAGGUAAGUUCGCUGAUCCUCUUCCAAAUUCUCUUGUGCUUUUUCUUGUCGAUUUCUUGUUUAACCAAAAAUUGCUCUGCAGGUACCAAUUGCUUUUGGUGUAUCUGGUUAUGAAGCAGUUGGUUUGUACAAAGGAAAGAGAAAAAUUGCAUCUCUGGGAAAUCAGAAGACAGAUUUUCGAAUUUACCAGCUUGUUCUAUAUUGCUUCAUGGGCAUAAUAGCUGGAGUUGUUGGUGGGCUACUUGGUCUUGGUGGAGGAUUUAUCAUGGGUCCACUGUUUCUGGAGCUCGGCAUUCCCCCUCAGGUAACAUUUCUGUUACCUCGAUACGCGAUAUUAAAAUCUUGCUUAUGCUUUUUUGUCUAUGGUAUUGGGGGACUCUGAGUCCAGGGUAAAUUAUGACCUUACAACCAAAGGGACCGGUGAGGCACAUGCACUCUGCCAUCAACUUUUGGUCGAGGAUUUAAUAAUUAUUUUAAAAAAUUAUGAGAUAUUUGAAUUUUUAUAAAUAGAACAAAAUAUCACUCUUAUAUAUACAAUAGGCUAGGGAUAUUUUUAAAAAUAGCAAAAUAAAUUAUAAUAUUUAUAAUCUAUAGCAAAAUUUUGGAUUCUAUCCGUGAUAGAAACUGAUAGACUUCUUUUACUGCCUAUCAAUGUAUAGAAGCAUAUCAUUUUCAAUGUCUGUUAUUGAUAGAAUCUGAAAUUUUGUUAUAUGUUGUAAAUAUUUUAUCAAAUUUGCUAUUUUUAACGAUUAUCCAAGAUACUACUAUCAUCUAUUAGGUUUAUGCAUUUGUAACUCACAAUCUUGUAUCUUGGGUCUAAUAAAUUCUUUUAACUUCAUAAAUAUUUUGUGGCUCCAACAAUUUUUUAUUUUGUUAGAGAUUCAUAUCUUAUUCCACGUCUUACAAAUUUAACAAAUUUAUUAGACAUAAAAUUGAUUAUGUUCCAUUUGAUUCGUAAAUUAUAAAUAUUUUAAGCCAAGUACAAAAGUCUUAGUUUUUGUCUAUUAAAUAAAUUGUUAGCCCAAAAAUGUAUUUUAACGCAAACUUCUAAAUUCAAAUUGAUUUCCUUUUGGCUAGUGGGACCCAUCUAUAAACCAUAGUGAUGUUACGUGAUUGGGUUAAAAGUUUGAUCUCUAAACUUUCGUAUAUGUAUCGUGAAUAUGUCAAUACUCUAUUAGACACAUAAAAAAUUUCGAUAUUCAUUAGACAAUUAAAAAUUUGAAGACUUAAUAGUAAACACAAAAUCAAACAUUUUGAACCAUGUUAUUAUAUACUUUCGAAAGUUUAAGAACCUAUUAGAUACAAAAUUAUAAUUGAUCUAUUCAUAGUUGAUGGACAAUUAGGAUUGGUUUCUUUUUUUGGUUCUUUGAGGAUGGGAGUACAUUGUUGAAUUAGGAUCCCACCUACUUGUUUGCUUUCAAAAUCUGAGACAUCGUGGGUAGACUAUAGAUCCCACCAAAGUUUAACUUUUCUUCACCUUUGCUUUGCAGGUAUCAAGUGCUUCAGCAACUUUUGGAAUGACAUUCUCCUCAUCGAUGUCUGUUAUACAAUACUAUCUUCUUAACCGUUUCCCCGUUCCUUAUGGUAAAUCAAUUCCAUCUCACGUUGCAAUUAUCUUUCUGUUAAAGAGUGUACAGACAAAGUUUCACGUUGGCUAGGAAAGUGGAGAGAUAUUUAUGGUAAAUGAGCGAGGGACUUUCUGAUCAAAUUAAAAGCAAAUUAUGAGGGUUUAUGCUAUCUGUUUUCUAGAUUUUCAGGAUCUCUAAAGUGAACCACACGUUAUAAUCAAUCCUAGAAAUUUCCAUUUCUCAUUCCUCUAAAGUUUUCAAUCUAUCGAUUUACUGAGCAAGGUUGUAAUGUUUUUUGCACAGCUCUUUACUUCACCAUUGUGGCCGCCGUAGCUGCAUUUGUUGGACAGCACGUAAUCAGAAAACUGAUCCUUUUGAUUGGAAGAGCAUCUUUAAUUAUCUUCAUUUUGUCCUUCACAAUAUUCGUCAGUGCACUCUCUCUAGGUGAAAUAUCAUACACAAGCAAACUGCUUUAUGCAAUGUUCCUCAAUAUGAUAAUUUAACUAAAUCUGAAAUCAAUUCUGGUUUGGUUUGAUAGGUGGAGUUGGAAUCUCGAAGAUGAUAGGACAAAUUCAGCGACAUGAAUACAUGGGAUUCGAAAAUCUGUGCAAAUAUGAUGCAUAAGGUAUAGCCUCCUGGGAAAGAAAUGUGAUCUAGUAAUUGUUUUUGAAAUUCUUGUGAUUAAGUUGGAACUUUUGUCCAUUAAAUUCGAUGGCUAAGAUGCUAAAAUUAAUUGAUUUACAUCAUUAGGGCAGUUUGUCAUAUGGGCCUCGACAGCCUAGAAAGCAGAAAUGUAUAUUCUAGUUUGGGAAAAAGCAGUCUCAGAAAUAUGUGCACUUGAAUGUGCCCGGAAGUAGAUUUUCAAUAUUACUUUUCCUAUUCACCAUGCAUUUUUGGAUUGGGUUCUCGAAUUCUUUCUGAGUAACGAUGUUUUAAUUAAGACUUAGUUUGUUAACCCUUUAAUUUUUAGUUCUACUUUUUUAAACUUAAGCUUGUUGAUACUAUUUUUACUCCUAAGUUUCUUUUUUGUCUCGUCCUCUUGCUAUUUUACUUAUUAGCAUUAGUUCAGCUGAUUAGGGCAUUAUACAUAAAAUUUACCAUUGAUGAAUCUGGAGAGUUUGUGAACUUUCAAUUUGGACAUUGGAGUUAAAACAAUUGUUACUUUUUUCUGUUCUAUGGAUUACAAAUAGUCAAAAUACAAAGUUGUGCUAGUACUUAAAGAGAAAACUGAUACAUUCAGUUGGGUUUAUGUUAAUUGGUGACUAAAUGUAUAUGUAUAUAAUUAGUUGGUACCAAUUAAAUUUUGAACUGCACCAAACGAUUUCUGUCGUUUAAGAGUUAAUUAUCGACAUUUUUAUCGGAGCAAUGCAUUGUAUAUAGAAAAUAUUUUAUAUGUUGAAAUACAAUCCUUCAUUCUCUUUUAUUAAUGGUUGAUUUUAAAUUUGACAAAUCUUAAGUAUUUAUAAAUAUAGCCAAAUACUAAUAUGGAAUUUGCUAUAUUGAUAAAUAUUUUCAACAAUUUUAUCUUUUAAAACAAUUUCUUAUUAAUAAAUCAAACUCAUUAUAAAACUGAUCUUCAAGACUAGGACUAUAAAAUUACGAAUAGAAGUAUACUAUUUCUCUUUUCAAUUAUUUUGUAAUAAGUAAUUUAUUUUUUGUUUCUUUCUCUCUCUGGUUCAAAACUCUUCCUUCUUUCUUUUGUAUUUUUUGCCCUCCCACUACUUUUUCUUCAUUCUUUUAUUUGCUUUGUCUUGUAUAUUAUUUAUAUUUUGUUCUUAUUUAAUUAUGUAGAGUUUUUAAUACAAUGUUUUGUGUUGCAUUAUUGUUAAAUAAUAUAGGGUCAAUUGUAAUUUCUUUUCCUUCUCGGCUUUGAGUUUGUUUAGAAUGGUUCUCUAAUUAUUGUAAAUGAUAAAUUUGUCUAAAUAAAAUAAGUUGGGAGCACCAAUGUGAGUAAAUCAAUUAUAUUAAUAUUGAUUGAAUCACCCAAUCAUAUUAUCUUUCUUGACUUACAAAUCAAGAACUUUAAUUUUUGUCCAAUAACUUAUAUAUAUAUAAAUAUAUUUGUUUUAACUUAAAAUAAUCUUACUUCUAAAUUUUUAUAUAAGUUUUCACAAUAUUUUAUGUGUUUCCAUGGUAUUGACAUGGUGGUCAAUUGAGUCACUGACCCUAAUAAAGACAUUGAUAUUUUCAUACUUGGUUUACAAAUUUACAAAAAAAAAAAAAAAACCUAAUUAUAAUAAUAAAAUCUUGGUUAAAAAAUGAAAUAGUUAGAAAAGAUAGCUCUAAAAUAUUCUACAUUUAAUCAUUAAAAUUUUAAAUUUUGAGUUUAAUCUCAAUUUAGUAGUAAGUUUUAAAAUAUAGCAAUUUUUUUUUUAUUAAAAUUUGAGUUUUAUCUCAAUUUAAUCCUAAGUUCUAAAAUAUAGCAAUUUUUUAAAAGUUUUAUUUGAAUUUGGUUCGAAGGUUUCAAGAUUUUUUUUUUCUUUUUACUAAAUUCAAUUUGGCUUUAGUAUAAAUGUUUAUUAAUUAAUUAAACAAAAUUAUAAUUAACUAAAUUUCACUAUUUUUCAUCUUGUCUAAAUUCAAUUAUCGUUAUUUUAAAAUAAUUAAUAGACAUUGAUGUGAAUGGUUGAAAUUGUAUAUUUAAUGAGAAAUCGAUGUUAAAACUGUAAAAUCUCAAAUCAUAGACCAAGUUGAAAUAAAAUUCAAUUUUCAAAAGUAAAAUUGUAAUACUUUGAAGUCUAAAUACUAAAUUGAAACUAAACUCAAAAUUUAAGGACUAAAACCUCCUACCAAUCUGGAAUGAAAAUUAGUGUAAACCUAAUGAGAUUUCUUUGAUGGACUAAUCAUAAUUGACUUGAAUGCAAAUGUUACUAAAUGUCUUUAUACUAGUUUACUUAAAAUUACGAAUAUGUCAUAUUUGCUGCUUGAUUCUAACAAUAAUGAUAAUGGUAAUGGUAAAAUUUAAAAGUGACAACAAAUUCAUAAUUAUAACUAUAAAGUUAAAGGUAAUGAGUCUCAUACAAGUUUCAAACUAAAUCAAAUUGACGACCUCCUACCCUCUCAAUCAAAUUAUAUUCUUUGAUUACUUACUUGAGAUAGACCUUACAUUUCGUUACAAUUAUGAAACACAAGUAAUUAAACAUCAUUAAUUUGUAUAACCUAUUUUUAAAGUAUAAAGUAGAGUGAUAGUUGUGAUUAUACUCUCAAAUUUUCUAGAGUAAAAAAUGAAUUUUCAAACUUAGGUUAAAAUUGGAUCCUCGAACUUACAAUAAUCGUAAGAAUCAAAUCUCAAAAUGGUAAAAAUUAAACAUUCAAACAUAUAUAGUUAUAUACAAUUAUAUACAUACAUAGAUAUGUAUGUAUUCAGAUUCAUAACAUUCAACAUUCUAUUUUUUAAUAUAAUUACAAAACAUGAAUUCUCCUCGGUGAAAGUAAAGUGUAACACCAAUUAUUAUAGAAGAUACUGGAGAAUGCAUGCUUUUAGAGAGUAAUAUAUUAUUCACAUAUGAUAUUAUAGAUCUAAGAAUAACAUAAAAUGAUCCAAGAGUCCAAAAAAAAAAAAAAAACGAAUAGGAGUUUGUCCCAAAUUGUAAAGAACACGAAAAAAUAAACAUAGAAAUUUAGAUGAGUAUUGAGAGAGUUUAAACCAGAGUUUUUGUACAAAUGACCUGAUCUUAAGCGUUUAUAACAUUUUGCUUACAUCAUAACUCACUAUCCCAUUUUGUUAAUUUACUGCGUUAGAUAUGACAUGCAUAUCAUCCUAACGUGAUCAGUGACCAUCCUUAUUGUCAUCUUCAUCUUUAAAUCUAACAAAUUAAGUAGAAGAAGAAUAAGAAGCACAACAAACAUUCUUGGUAUUGCAUUAAGAAUGACCUUAUAGCCAUAUCAUGAUAUUCAUUUUUAUCAACAAAAAAUUUACUAACUGUGUGAGAGAAAAAGACACACAAUAUAAACAUCACACUAGGAUGAUACAAAGCAUUGGAGUGAUACAUAUGACUAUAUCUAAUUUGACAAAAUGAGAUAAUAAGUUAUGAGGCAAGCAAAACACUUUCACGAAAGACUAUCCUUACAAAGAUCUCACGAUAAGAGAAAGAAUAUAAAAAAAAUAAUAAAUAUUUUUUAAAUGUAAGAACAUAUAUAUUUCCUAAAUAUAUAUAACAAAAUUUUAAAUUUUAUGUUAUAUAUAUUAAUGUAACUGUUAGCACAAUAAAAAUUUAUUUGAUAUCCAUUUAAAAUUUUGGUUUACUAUAUUUGAAAACAACUGUUAUCUUUAAUUUACAAGUUUUUUUUAUUUAAGGAAAGUUUAUGUUGAAGUUUAUACAUUAAACAAACAUAAACUCGAGGAUUAAACUAUAAUUUAAAGGAAUAUUAUUCUACGCUAUCCUGGAGGGUGGUAUAUCAGCGUCCUGUUAAAAGAUUCAAAAUCACACGCAACUCGCUAGAGGGCUAAUCUCUCUCUAUUUUUCCCCAAAUUGAAAACCCUAAUUCAUUCCAUUCUCUCCAUUUCUGAGAGUUGAGCAAACGAAAUCGAAGCACCAUGGUCUUCUAUUUCAAAGCCCGGCCUGACGUCGGCGAUUACACCAUUUUCAUGGGGCUUGACAAGUACGAGAACGAGGAGCUCAUCAAAUACGGCUUCAUCGAGGAUAUUUGGUAAUCUUUCCUCUAUCUCUCUUUGUUAUUUAUGUUUCUUUCGCGGCUUGUUGUUUGAUGUCAAUUUCAUUGAGAAAUGGUUGUAAAUGGUUUCUCUUGAUUAAUCAAGUCGGGGGAUAAAGUGCUGCUGAUGUUUACUUUCUUCGUUGAUGUAUUUGGAAAUUGAUAUUCGAUUUUCUUUUUUGAGUUUAAAGGUAAAUCAAUCUGGUUGGUUGUUUUUUGUUCUGAUUUAAAUCAAUUUCCUUCCCUUUGUAGAGCUUUAUGAAACUGAAAUUGAAUACAUUUGAGGAUGUCUGGCGGAUUAUGAAGAGAAUGAAAUGAGUUUCCUGUCUUCAUUGAUAUCUGGAUUUUUCAUUGCACAAUCUUUUAUUAAGUGAUACAGGACUCGGACUUAUCAUGGUCUUGACCACUGUUUUAAAAACCCUGGUGUGCCUAGGCUUAAGGCACAGGUUUGGCGCCUUGUCUUGAAAAAGCAAGGCUCACAAACUAAGGCGCGCCUGCCUUCUGGGAUGCCAAACGUCUCAAAGCCUGUACCUUGGGGCUUUUUCAUUAUUUUUAGAAAAUCGUAAUAAUUGGAGGUUUUCCCCCUUAUUUUUAAUAUGGAACAAUUAAAUUUAGUAAGACUAAAUGAAAUUUUCUUGUGUUAGAGAGGGUUUUUCCCCCAUAUUUCUAUUCAACUAUGUUUUCACUCCUCAAUAUAGUACUUUUAUAUAUAAUGUGCCUCACAAAAAAAAUCCAUUUGUUUUUCACCUUGUACUUGAGUCCUAGAAGACCAUUGCUCUUUAUUGCACCUUGAACUUUAAAAAUUACUGACUGUUUUGUGGCAUUAAGAACUAAGGGGUUAUCAUUUAGUCUUUUGUAUCUAGUUUUUGUUUUAGGGAGGACUUGGCUUAAGUUUUCUUCUAUUCACAAUGAUUGUUUUGUGCAGGUUCCAUGUGGACAAGAUGUCAUCUGCUCAUGUAUAUGUGAGACUGCAAAAAGGGCAGACCAUUGAUGAUAUUAGUGAAGGGUUGCUGGAGGAUUGUGCCCAGCUUGUAAAAGCAAAUUCUAUUCAAGGUAAAAUUUGAACAGUUUUCUAGAAAAUAGGAAAAUGUUAGCUCUUGACGUGGUGAAAUAUGUUUGUUUUUUCAUAUAUCAAACCUUUAAAAUACAUGUGCCUGUUUCUGAAUUGUGUCACGAGGUAGAGAAUAUUGACUAUUAUCAUUUUUAUCUGUGACAGGAAACAAGGUGAACAACAUCGAUGUUGUGUAUACACCUUGGUCCAAUUUGAAGAAAACUGCUUCGAUGGAUGUUGGCCAAGUUGGUUUUCAUAACCCCAAGAUGGUAAGCUUAAUUGUUUUAGUUUGGCAAGUGGAUAUGUCCAUAAGCAUUUUGUUUUAUUUUAUCUUUCCUUUUUCUUUUUAAGUAUUUAUGGUUCUUUUAUGGAUGGGAAUAUUCAAGGUGAUUCACAAAGCCUUUUUCAUACAAAAUUCAGGUCCGAACUGUGAGGGUGGAAAAACGGAUCAAUGACAUUGUCAAUAGAUUGAACAGAACUAAAGUGGAAAGGAAGCCUGAUUUGAAAGGUAAAUUGGAAAUGGCGUUUUUGUUGAAAUUUUCCAGUGGCAUACAUGAUACAUCAAACAUAUCAUGGUCGUCCCAUCUUCACAUCAUCACAUGCAUAUGUACUAGUAAAACAGUUGACAAGCACUUUGUUUUUCAUUAUACAGCCGAACGUGAAGCAGUGAAUGCAGCUGAAAGAGCAGAGAGGAAGCAACACUUGAGAGAUAAGGUUGGUGACAACUUUUUGUUCGGUCUCUGAAAUUACUCCUUUUGUCGGUCUACAUCUUGGAUUUUUAUAUUUCAACAUUGCCCUCUACCCCAAGGGAGAAAAAUAUUUUUUCCAGAAUCUAGUUGAUACAUAUGCAUAUGAACUGGUUACUAUUUUAUCCCAAAUCGGUAUGUAUGGGAUGAGCCCUGACUUCUAUAUGUUACUAAAGGAAAGUACACACAUAGAAAUAAAAACAAUCGUAUUUUCAUGAUGGCCUUAGCUUAGCUUUUCCUUCACACACAUAAGCAAAAUAAAGAAACUGGUGGAUUUAAAGCUCCUGUAUUUUCUACGUAGACAUUCUUACUCUAACGUUGUACUUUACUCUAUAAUUGUUUUGCUUCACAAGUCUAGAAGUGUUUAUCUAGCAAUUGUAUGUUUAGAUAUUUGCUAGUGAGUAUAACCAUAUUGACCAUUGCUAGCAAUAUAUUUUUUCGCCAUUAAACCAAUGUUCUCAGACCUGGUUUUGUUUGCUAGGUGGUUUUCAUGAAGUAUUGUGAUUCUUUUCAUGUCUAGUUAUAGUUAAGUUUCAUUUUGUAGAAACGCCGCGAGGAAAUGGAAAGGUUAGAAAAAGAGAGGCAAGCAGAGUUAAGGAGCUACAAGGGUUUAAUGGUGUCUGAAAAGAUGACAUCUAACAAACAGAUUGCAGCAACAAGCAAAUCACUACAAGAGCUGGAGGAUGAUUUCAUGUGAUCGAAUUGAUCCGCGGUUCAAAUGCUGCAAAAACUAGCAGCAGCUAAACCUGCUCGUCCGUAGAGAUGGCCAUCUGCCCAAUCCAGUUUGUGGUUCUUGGCCCAAAGUUGUUCUCUCGUGAGUGAGUGAUCAAAUUGUCUUUAGCCUCGAUGAUAUUCAACUCUAUUGUGUCUAGACACUUGAUGACUAUACAAAUGGAAAAUUGCUGUGCCUUUCAAGAUAGCGGAGAAAUGGUGUUCUGUAAGUUGUAAUUACUGUUACUCUUGUUUAAUGAUGAUAAAUUCAGCUCGUUUUGGCCUACUUUUUUCUUUUUCAUAGUAAGAAAAAGGAUGUCAUUUUUCUUUUGAUAUGGAUUUUUUCAUCUAGCUUUAUAUUGAGUGGUGAUUUUUCAUUUUGGUAUCUCUUUUUUUUUUGGUUGCUUGAUGAACCCCACCUAGUUUCUUCCAAGGCAGGUGAAAAGCUGUCAUUGAAAUUUGAAAGUCUGGCGUGUUUGCUUUUAGAAAAAGUAACUUCUACUGCAAAAAAAAAAGCAUUUGUUUUUCUUUGUUUCUUCCAUGUCAUUUGAAUGCUUUGGUUGACUAUUUCUCUAAACUACGUCUCAUAAAGGUAAAAGUAUUGGUCGGGUAAAUGUUUUGAUGUGCAUCGGACAUUUUUUUGAAGUAGUAUAGUACAAGAAAUGGUAGUGAGAGAGAUUUACAAACUUCUUGGAUGUACACUAUCAAUCUCAAUGGUGAUGCCCUUCUUCCUUGAACUCCUAAAUAAGAAACGUAGCUCUUUCAUUCUUACAGUUGUGCUAAAAAUAUAGUACUUUGUAGAGGACAUAAUUUCAUCCAAGUGGUGCUCCCCUUUUUAGUUCAUAUGAAAACAACUGUUAAUUAUAACAACAACAAUAAUAGUAAUAUUAAUAAGAUAUUUAUUAUCAUUUAAAAAAACAUUGAUUGUUGUAUGAUUCAAAAUAUAUAUUAAUUUCUUUUUUCAAAAAAUGUAUUAGUUUAUAUUUUGAACUUUUUGUGACAAUUCUCGAAAUUUAGGUCUUCAAUUCUUUAUACUUGUGUGAAAACUAAAAUUAGUCGAUAGUUACACUUACAAAUUUCUUUAGAUUUAUAAACUUUGUCAUUUGUAAACUAUUAGCUGUAAUUAAUUUAAAAUCACCUAAAUAGAACAACUUUCUCCAAAAUCUUAUCAAAUUAAUGAAAAAACUAUCACAUAUUUUUUUUUUAAAAAAAAUAGGUGAAAAAUAUAGAAGGUAAAAUGAAAGAAAAUUAUCAUAUUAUGUUAAUCGAUGCAUUUUAAGAAAUUUUAUAUUAUAUAGUUUUUAAACAAAAUAAUUUAAGUGAUACAAAGUCAAAUAUGAAGUUUUUCUUUUUUUCCAAAAGAGAUAUGGUGAAAAAUUGGUGAAGUUUUAAAAAGAUGAAAUAAAGUGUGACGGAGGUCUUUUCCCGUUAAAACUUGUCCAUUACUGCAACCAUUACACGUAAUCAUUGUCGGUAGUACGACAUCUCCGCUUCACACGUGUUUCGAUCUACACCGUUGAAUUUCCAAACGUGCUGUCAUCUUAGCCGCUGGUUUUGAAUCCCUUUAGUCCGCCCCUUUAUGUUUGAAUAGAGCUCCGGACCGUUUAAAUUAUCGUUUCCAAAUCCUAAGCCAUUUCGCUUUCGCUACCAGUUCCUCUCUCUGCUUUCCUUCAUUCACUUCUUCUUCCGAUCAAAUUUCUACUCCGCGCAGAUUCUCUAAUGCGUUCUGUUUCGAUCGCUGCAUCCAGUUUCAUCUAUUUAUCUGCACUUCACCGCCGCUCGACGCCGACGCCGGUCAGUUCUUUAGGGUUUCUUUGGUUAAUUUUGUUAUCUUCCGUUUAUUUUAUGAUCUUUUUGUCGAUUUGAUUGUUUUUCGCUUCGGAUUGAAGUUUACUAGGCAUUUCAGUUCAAGUUUGUGGAUUCUUGAACAUUUUUCUUUCCUUCUAUUUUGAGUGAUUUACCUUGUGGACUCUAUGAAAUGUUCUCUAUCUUAUCCUCGUUGUGGUUUCGGUUUAUUCACACUUAGGUAAUUUGUUGUUUUCUGUUUCUGGAGUUCGAUUUUGUAAUGAAUCAUUUCUCUGAUCUUUUUUUUUCAGUCUUUGCGGCGGUGGAAAUUGAAUUUUUGUUAGUCAUUUCCGUUUUUUUCAGGUUUGGCUCCUGGCAGUCAUUUCUGUUGUUUUUGAGGUUUGGAGUACGGUUAAUAGGUUUGAUGCUAGUAUUGUGCACAACGUGCGUUUUAAUCAAGGAUUGAUAGCUUAUUCCACUCCUAAAAUUAGGUUUCAAUUGUUAUACCUCUCAGUUUGUUUUCAUGAUAUGGAUUUUGGACUUCUUGUUGUAGUAAUUAAUUUUAAAUGACGAGGCCUUUUUUCUCUCACGUAGAGUGAGUUUUGAGAAUAUCGAUAGCAUUCAUUUUUCGCCUGGAGGAAUAUCUGAUUUUAUGCGUUUCACAUCACUUAUUGUAAAAACUGCCUAAAGAAACUUUGACCGAAGUUAGAUCCACUAUGUCUCACUGCUGAUUUUCAACAUCAUUGAUUCAAAGACCAUGUUGAGCUCAAAUUUUAUACAGCUUUGAAAUACUAAGAUUUAAUUUACUGGAGCUGAUGUUUUUUGGUUCGAUUCUUGCCUUUGAAUAAUGAUUAUGCACAUUUAUACAUUAUAGAUACGGCCGUAUGUUUUGUAUUUUUGUACUAUUUCUUUGUUCUACUGCCUGCAGAUAUUCACUGGUUAUUUUCCUUGGUUAGAAAUUGUUGGAUGAAAUGGUAGAUUUUUCCACAUUGGAAUAAAAUAAUGGUCUGGAUAGCAUUCUUUGGAACAAGCCAUUGUCGGGUAGGAAUUGGGAUAUUAUGCAUUUGCCCCUCUAUGUCAAGGAGUUAUGGAAGGUGAUAAGACCAUCUCAACACCUUCGGACAAUCCUGAGGAGGCAGUUCGUGAUCAGAGGAUACGUGCUCUCCAUGGGUAAUUUCAUUCAUCUAACUAAGCAGAUCUCAUGCUUUGCUUCAUAUUUCUUCUCAUUCGCCUCAUUCUGCAAGUUUUGGCCUCUGUAUGCACUUUACUAUAUUGGUGUCUUGUAACUGUUGUUUUGCAAGUCUUCUAAACCAAAUUUGCCACCAUAACUCAUAUAAGAACUGUUUCAGUUGCAAUAUUCUUGAGUCCUGUUUCUAUAAAACAUUUUCCUUGGUUUCCUUUAUUACUGGAGAGGCAUACCAGUCACUAACUAGCUUGUUGUAAUUCUGUCUUUAGCAACUUGUAAUUUUACUUUCUUUUCAUUUUUCCUUGUAAAUGGUUGUAUUUUGAUGUCUUUUGGUUCAACAUGAUUUUUGUCCCAUUUCUGUGGAUUUGUGUUUGAAAUUUGAAUUGACUUUAUGUCCUGUACUACACAGUUCCUAUACUGUUGCUUGACAUUCAUAUACCUUCCUUGCCCUAUUACUUUGUCGGAAGGAAAAAACUAAGUUAUCGCCUGAAGUUUGAACUCUAUGUAUGUUCUUUUGGGGGAUGUUUAGGAGAACUAGUGGCCCAACAAGACGUUCAACAAAAGGACAAUGGACACCUGAAGAGGUAAGUUUAUCAUGUAUCAUACUGCAGUCUGUUAGAUAUUUCUUCUCAUUGUUCUAGUUGGCUGCAGGACAGAAUGGUGAUGUUUUUUGUUUUUCUUUUUUGAGUGUGGGUGUGUGUGUGGGUGUGUGUGUGGGGGGGGGGGGGGGGGGGGGGGGGUGGGUAGAAUGUUGUCUUCCUUAUUUUUACUUUGCUCACAAUUUUGUUGUUCCAAAAGUUGUAUGUUUGAUGAGUAAUCUGUUUUAUACACAUCCAGGAUGAAAUUUUGCGACAAGCAGUUGAUCAUUUCAAAGGCAAGAACUGGAAGAAAAUAGGUACUAUUGAUGUGUUGGAUACUAUAGAGGCCAAGAAUAUAUUUUAUUGUACUGAAGAUGUUCUCUUCUUGGGUCAUUUUUAACUUGUAUGUAAAGUGUACCUACGGUAUUUAGAUGAUUAGAUAACCUAAUUUAUCGUGUAAAAGGAGGCCAUAUUUCACGAUGAACAAUAUUUUGUAUGGACUACUGUGUUACUGCAUCACUGGUUCAUUUGUUAUUGGUUGUUUGUAGCUGGAUAUUUCAAGGAUCGGACUGAUGUACAAUGUCUGCAUAGGUGGCAAAAGGUUUUAAAUCCCGAGCUUGUCAAAGGUCCAUGGUCUAAAGAGGUGAUCUGCUUGUGAAAUUUUAGUAAUUAUAAUUUAAUAAUCGUCCUACUCUUUCGAUGCUCUAUAUGUGGAAUUCUACAUGAACUUACCUGUUUGCUUGUGAAUUGAAUGUAGGAAGAUGAGAUUAUCAUAGACCUGGUGAACAAAUAUGGACCAAAAAAGUGGUCCACAAUUGCAACACAUUUACCUGGACGUAUUGGCAAGCAAUGCCGAGAAAGGUAAGACAAUUGAGUUACUUUCUUGCUUCUUCUUUAUUUAUUUAUUUUUGACUUUUGAUUCUCCUAUUACUUUUAUUAUCUCUUUGGUUAACCCCAUCUGUUGAAUAUUUAUUUUCUGGAUUCAAUUAUGAUUGGUGGUGCCAUCAAGUUGAACUUAUCAUGCGUCCCUACUUGAUGUUCAAUUAAAUUUUCAGCUGUCCUCAGAUUCUUUUACAUAAACUGCUUUCUUUUUUAAAGGUGGCACAACCACCUCAAUCCUAAUAUAAACAAAGAAGCAUGGACCCAAGAGGAGGAGUUAGCUUUAAUUCGUGCUCAUCAAAUUUAUGGCAACAGAUGGGCAGAACUAACAAAGUUCUUACCUGGAAGGUGUGUCCCAUAUUUAUAUCUUAAAGUUGAAGGCAUUAUGUGGGGUUGUCCUAUAUGUGCAUAAUUUUGUUCCUAUAAAUCUUUUCAGAUUAAAAUUGUUGAAUUUCUUUUCAUUGCAGCUUUAUUCUCUACAACUGCAUUUCUUUCCAUUUUUAAUUGGAAAAUUCACUUGAUUCUGAAAAAUGUUGUAUUUGUGCUUUUAUAAUCAACAGGACAGACAAUGCCAUAAAAAACCAUUGGAACAGUUCUGUCAAAAAGAAAUUGGACUCUUACUUUGCCUCAGGCUUGCUCUCACAAUUUCAAGAUCCAGUUCCCGCUGGACAACCAAACAAACUCCCAGUUUCAUCUUCAAAGGUGCUUGGUAGUGGAAAUGACAGUGGCUUGAAGGGAAUGGAUACAGAGGAGAUUUCAGAGUGCAGUCAAGAUGCAACAGUUUCUGAUAGCUUGAUGAUCGAUUCAGCAUGUGCCACCCUGAAUAUAAGAAAAGAAUUUCAGUUAACCGAGGAUUUGGGAUUGGGAAAGGAGCAAAGUGCCAGCCCAAUAUCCAAUUCGGAACCAUACUACCGUCCUUCCAUGGAAGUAAGCACUUGUCCAAUUGCCGAGUUUGCUCAAGAAAUGGGUCACUCAUCACAUUCGCAGCAAAAUCUCUCGAAUGAUUGUAGAACAACAUCAAAUAGGGAGCACCAGUGUGAUUUGAAUCAGUUUCCUAACAUCUCUUCAUUACAGGUGGCCAAAGAAGCAUCACAGUUUCAAUCAAUGGGUCAUGGGAUGGGUGAAAGUCAUGGAGUUGGUGAUUCUGCUCAAACUUCUUCGAUGAUAAAAGAAGCUGUGGCUUCUGCCCAAGCAGAGUGCAUGUUUAUAUCUGAUGAUGAGUGUUGCAGGGUCCUAUUCUCAGAUACAAAAAGUGAUAGAGGCCAUCUGACUAGUAAUCUUAAAGGACCCUGUGUAUCUGAAAUGUGUGAUUACGUAGUACCAGUUCACUCCUUGGGAACUCCAAAAGUGGAAAAUAACCAUACUUUGACUCCACAGAUAUAUAAUCAUCCGUCAGGAACUGAUGUGCAGGAGAAAAAUUCCUUUGGUCAAUCUGGCAUGCUGAUUCCAUCUAUGGUUUCUGUCAAUGGUGACGUGAUUUUAUUAGGCGGUACUGGAUCCAACCUCUUUGUAGGAGCCGUAGAGCACGGAUGUGUAACUAGCCAGCAAAAUAGGUUUGUUUAUAAAGAUGGAACAUCCAAGCCUUCCUAUUUUGAUGUUGCAGAUAACCCAGAAAUGCAAGAACAGCCUGGCGGAUCAGAAGACCUGCCAAAAGCAAUUUGUGAGGAUACAUUUGCAACAGCAGCAGCGGAAGCAGAUGGUACAGGUACAUGCACUCGUUUGGACGAAACAGCGAAACAAAAUGAUAAACAUCUAGACUCGAGAGCUCUUUGUUACGAGCCUCCUCGUUUUCCAAGUUUAGAUGUUCCUUUUUUCAGCUGUGAUCUCAUACAGUCAGGAAGUGAAAUGCAGGAGUACAGCCCACUCGGUAUCCGUCAGUUGAUGAUGUCUUCUCUAAACUCUGUUACUCCAUUCAGAUUAUGGGAUUCACCAUCUCGUGAUACUAGUCCAGAUGCCGUACUGAAAAGCGCUGCCAAAACUUUUACCAGUACUCCAUCUAUUUUGAAGAAACGACACCGUGAUUUAAUGUCUCCUCUUUCUGAAAGAAGAACCGACAAAAAGCUUGAAACCGAUGUGACAUCCAGUUUGACCGAAAACUUUUCACGCUUGGAUGUUGUGUUCAAUGAUGGGUCUGAUAAAGCUUCUAUAUUAUCUCCAUCUAACCUAAAGAAAAGUAUUGAAGAUUCUGCUGAUAAUAAAGAAAAUAUGUAUUGUACCUUUGAAGAUAGUAAUGAAUCUCAAGACAUCAUGAUUUCAGAGAAUGGUUUUCCAAAACGUUGUUCCCAAGACUAUACAAAACAAGGGACUGCUGAUACCGAGAUGAUAAGCGUUCGAUCCACAUCUGAAAUUGUUAGUCACUUUCAACCAACUUUUUGGUAGAUGAUUGAUUUUUGUUAUCAUUGAAGAAUUACCAAGCUAUUUUUAUUGUAUUGAAGAAUCAAGUUUACUGGGUAUCCAACAUUCAACGUGUAUUUCUUUUACGACGAACACAAUCUGAUAGUUAAUUUCACCUUUGAAAGGUACCUCCUGGAGUCUUGGCUGAACAUGAUGCCAAUGACUUGCUACUCCAUUCUGUUGAUCAAAAAGCUCUCAAUUCAAGUACAAGAAUUAAGAAACGACACUGUCUGAGCAAAUCGGAAGAUGCAUCAAAUGCUGACAAUGUAAAGCAGAUAGAUUCUACUCGACCACAGACUACAGCCACCGGAAUUGCUUCAUUGUGAGAUUCAUCUUCCUCUCUGUUUAAUGCAUUAUUCCUUUCAUGUUUACAUUUAUGGAGUUCCAGUGUUGUGUUCUGCUUUCUUUUUUAACUUUUAUGAACUCUAAUGGACAUCGUGUUAUGGCUUUUAGACCUGGAGCUGGUGAAACUCCAUUCAAGAGAAGUAUCGAAUCCCCAUCAGCAUGGAUGUCUCCUUGGUUUUUCAAUUCUUUCCUACCUGGCCCGAGGAUCGAUACUGAAAUAUCGAUCGAGGUAGUACUUAGUUAGAUUGUUUGGAAUGGGAAAGAAGUAUUCAUUAAACGAUGGUUUGAUCAAAUUGUUGUAUUUUUGUUGAAUAGGACAUUGGGUAUUUUUCGAGCCCGAAGGAAAGAAGCCUUGAUGCAAUUGGGUUAAUGAAACAAGUAAGCGAGAGAACGGCAGCUGCAUGUGCCAAUGCCCAUGAAGUGUUGGGAAAUGAAACUCCAGACACACUUCUGAAGGGAACGCGUAUGAAACAUCUCCAUUGUGAUGAAGCUGUUCUGGUAAUCAUUCUUUCCAAACACCUUCAUCAUUCUCUUUUCUUUUUGGCAAAAAGGUUCUUUCUCUAAAAAAAUUUACCUUUUCAAAGUGAAAUAUAUUCCAAAUGCUACGUUUUGAUACAUAUCAAGUUUUCAAGCAAAAGAGACUUUGUUAUUAUUUUUUUAAUGGAAAAAAUAAAUCAUGAUAGCCGAUGAUAUUUAAACUUCUUUUUUUUAAAAAAAAAACUUUUUAGAUAAAAAUAUUUACAAAUAGCAAAUAUAUUACAAUCUGGGUCGAUUUAGUUUUAAAACAUUUAAUUUGAUCCGAGUAAUAAGAGAGAAAGAUUUGAGUUGUGGUUUUGGGUAAUAUUGUAAAGUUGUACGAUUUGACUUUCAGGCAGAGUGUAGGGUAUUGGACUUCAGCGAAUGUGGCUCUCCAGGAAAAGUAGGGACAAUGGGUGCGUGAAAACAACAACAGUAGAGACCACCCGUCCCCUUUUCUAUCUUCUCAACGGCUGCACAUAACAAAUCUAUCUGCCUUCAACUUCCUUGACGUAAUGUGUGUUCAUUCGUCCCCCUAGAAGAAAAAAGAGAAGGGAAAAAAACAGGGAAGAAAUUGUAAUUGUACGUGAUUCUCUAGAUUAUCAUCGGUCUGACCUAAACUUCAAAACUUUGAAUAUAAAUGAAAAAUCAAAGAGCCUUUUUCUCAAAGGGCAAAUGAGCACCGAUAAUUUCUUCAAAUGAAAUGUUAAAAGAGACAAGUUUUUGCCAACAAGAUGACAACAAAUUGCUUCCAGUAUGGUGAGCAACAAUGAUUAUUUAAUAAUAUGGUAAGAGAACUAAAGCAAGACUAUAGAAGUGGGGGAACAAAAAUUAGAGGACACGAGUCACGGCUGCAUGGAUUGCGUCCGCAAGGUGAGGUACGGUCCUUGAGCUCAAACCUGCCAUGCUGAUUCUCCUGCAACACGUAACAAAGUUAUAAAAAAAGAAUAUUUACCUUCAUUCAUAAUCAAUAAUUAAUUCAAUCAUUUUAUGGAAGUUGUUUUUAUGAAAAUUUUAAUUUUAUAAAAUAUUUACAUUCUAAUUCGACACUGUAUCACACAAUCUAAAAUUUAAAUUCAAAUUCAACACUAUGUCAAAGUAGCUAAAAUUUAAAAUUACUAUGUCAAAGAAUCUAAAAUUUAAAAUUUUGUUAAAUUUUGUUUAACCUAUAAAUAUUUUAAUUAUAGAAUCUAAAAUUUAAAAUUACUAUGUCAAACAAUUUAAAAUUUAAAAUUUGUUAUAAGUGAAAUAUUUUAAUCAUAGAAUUUAAAACUUAAAAUUCAAAAUUCAAAAACUUAAAAUUCAAAUCCGACGUCAAAAAAUUAAAACUCAUAAAUAUUUUAAUUUAUUUUAGAACUUUUAAAAAUGGUCUUGUUUCUAAUCGAGAGGUUUUUAAAUAAUAGAACAUUUGAAAAUUUCAUUUUUAUAUUUGCUAUUAAAUAUUUAAGUUUAUUUUUCUAUAUUAAAAAAAAAAGGAAAGAAUCAAAUAUAUUAAGAAAAAAAUAUCAAACAAGCUUAGGAAAAAGGGGCAAGAAAAACAAAAAUAUGGGUAGACGAAAAUGAUUGGGGAUAUAGAGAAGUGAUUAUAGCAAUGUGAAAGGAAAGAUGCUUUACCCAUCAGAGGUCAUGUAAAUAUGAUAUUCUUUGGUCAUGAAGCUAACUUGUUCCGAGUUCAAUCCUGUGAAUGUAAACAUCCCAAUCUGUUUGAUGAUGUGACUCCAAUCACCAGGUGUACCUUCAUCACAUACACACAUACACAUGAAUGGUCAAUAACACACCACAAGACCCCUUCAAAUAUGGCUUCUAAUACCAUAUUUUCAACCACGACCAACCAAUUUUGUUGAUUCCUUUUACUCUUUUCCCAAAUUUCAUACUCCCUUCCAUGUGAGGGAUGAUAAAUCAGGCAUUUGUUUUAUAGCACUUUAGUCUACUUGAGAAAAUCUAAACGCUGUGUUUAAUUAGGAUGCAAUUAAAAGAUUUGAAUUCGAUGACAGAUCUCCCCAUCUAUAAACCACAAAUCUUGAUUGACUAUGCAAUUCUUAAAAUAAAGCAGUUCCGAACAUUACAAAAUAACUUGUUGCAUCAUUCAUACCAAACUUCAUAUUAGCCCUCAAAAUCUAUGGAUUGGAUGGAUGGAUUAUAAUAUUCUAUUCAUUCUUCAUAUUAGCUCUCCAUAUUAUUCUAUUUGCAAUUCUGUUGUUAAUUAACAUUUCCUUUCUUCCACAUUCCUCUAGGAUUUUCUAGAAUAUUUAAUUUUUCUCCAAAAGGAACCUCCUACUCGUUUUCAAGGCAUCACUGUUAUCUCACCAGACCGCAACGCACACAAGACGACCAGAAAAUAUUCACCAGAAAGCCAUCGGUAUCAUAUCAAUUCACUAGCCAGGACCAUUAGGUCCCCCUAAUCAUUCACCCAUCGCACUCAAUUCUCCCGACUAGUCCCUCCCAAAUGAAAGCUUCCUAAAUUUAACCAUACAAUACACAAAAUGGAUGUAUAAGGUAAAACUAAAUCAUGCACCGUCUCUUCCCUUUCUCCUCUUCAAAAUCUCAUAACCAACUAUAAGUAAUUAAGAUUACAAUGAUUGUUCAGGCCUAAUGACCGACCCAUUAUUUGACUACUUUUUUUACUUCUCAUAAUUAAGGUUAUAUAAACGCUGCUUCCAGCUACUAUUUUCCUUAUUUUGUGAUCUAUCUCUAUGAGCAGUUUUGAAAAUGAAAAAUAAAGGCAGUUCAAAUUAUUUAUUCAUUUCCUUUUUUGAAAACCACACAGUAGAAAAUAUAAGAAAAUCAGCACAACCUUCCAAAAUAGAAAGUUAAAAACUAAAUCGUUUUCGAAGGGAAACUAAAUUUGAAUUUUAUGAUAAAUUGAGAUUCAGCCUUGUCCACCUACCUAAUCUGCAUUCCCAAUUAUGAUCGUUCUUCUCAUCCACACCCCAAAUGUUUUAUUCCCUUUAUUCUCUUAUUGAUUACUCUUACCCUUAGCUAUAUCCUUUGAAUAAGACCAUGCAGUCACAAAAGGAACUGGUAUAAUGAGGCUAGUAAGCACUCAAAAGAACUCAAAAUGGAUACCAAGAGAAUAAAUACUAACCUCUAGCGCGCAGGGCAUCAAAAAGUUGCUGGCGCAUGCUAAUAAUACGGUCUGCCAUGGCCUUCAACUCAACAGUCCAUUCAUUGAACAAAUCCCUACCAUUGAAACAAAGAUAUUGCUUUCAUUUUUUUGGAUAAGAUCAAAGAUAUUGAUUUCAUGAUGCAUGGACAGUGAAUCAGUUCCACACAAAUUUUCAGAAUUGGAAAUAAAGUAAACACAAGCAUCUUGCUUAUAGAUGUUCGUUCGCCUUCCCAAUCUGAGUUGAGGUCAUAUGAGAAGUUCUUAUUUUUACCUGUCCUUCAGGACUGUAGCGACAAUAGAUGCUCCGUGGAUGGGUGGGCUCGAGUACAUGGGCCUUAUCACUAGUUUUAGCUGGCUCUCUACCCUGCUUGCAACAUCAGCAUUCUUGCAGACCUGUUCAAGAGUAAAAAUGCGUAAGAUCAAGGCAGAAAAUUUAAAAAAAUACUAGCUUAGACACCAUCCAUGCAUGUUCCUGCUUCAAAGAUUCUUUGAAUGAAAAAAAAAUGUCUAUCAAUAAGCUCUUGCAGUUUAGAAAUCUGUAUUUUUACCAAUUUAGUAAAUUUCUAUUAUUAACAGUAAUGAUAAUACAAGCAGUUAUUAUAUUUCCACGAAUAAUAUGCACAAUUUUCCAGAGUACCAAAAAUUUAUCAUUUCAAAAGAAUAGUGCAGUGGAAAAUCAUGCACGUGACAAUAAGACGACACAAUUUAUAGUAACCUACAAUAACUUACUCAUCUCAAUUUAUAAUAGAACCUGUAUUUGCCAAUAAUACCACACAGACUCCAUAUUCAAUCAAUGAAGAUGUGAUGCUCUAUAUCUCAAUAAAUCAAGUAUGGACAUUCUUCUAAAAACCUUACAAUGCUUAAAGCGCCAACACGUUCGCCAUAUAGCCCCAAAUUCUUUGCGUAACUCUGGGCUACAAAACAUUCACCUCCAUCAGCAACAAAUAAGCGCACAGGCUGUGCAUCCUUAUCCAAACUUCCACUGGCAAAACCCUGUAUAAUAAGAGGCAAAUAUAUCAGAAGUUUAAACGCCUAGAUUAUCUUUUUUAGUUGUUGAUGUGCAAGUCAUUCUUUAUUUUAUAAUAUCUAUAACCCUUACCUGAUAAGCACUGUCAAAGAAAGGUAAAAGCUGUUUUGAUCUCAUCAACUUCCUGAUCUGAUCCCAUUGUUCAAGGGUUGGAUCGACACCAGUUGGGUUGUGCGCACAUGCAUGAAGCAAAACUAUAGCUCCAGAUGGGGCAGAACCAAGAUCUUCCAAGAGGCCUGUAACACAUUAAAGUUGUCCAACCAAUGGUAAGGAAUGGUAAGGGACUGACAUACUCAACAUCAAAAGCUUCAGUAACCAAUCAUCUUAAAGCACUCCCAUAUGGGAUACCAGGAACACUGUAGUCUAAAAGGCUAUACAAGUUGAGAGUAAUCUAAUUGAACCAACACUUCAGUGAAAGAUAAAAACACGUUGGAAUUCAUUAUGGUGAUAGAACCAAAAAAGCCUAUUGCAUAGUAGUAAUAAAAGAGAACGAGUUUGAACCUUGAAAAUCCAACCCCCGUGUUGAGGGAUCAUAAUAUCUGUAAGUUUUUACAGAUAGACCAGCCAGAUUAAAAACUUUGGGGUGGUUCCCCCAUGUUGGCAGGGGAAUGUAUAUAAGCCGCUGAAAAACAAGAAAAUAAAGCAUGUUGAGAUGGCUUUAUUACUUUGAUAAAGUAAAGCAUAACAAGCAUGAUAAUUGAACACCUAAGCGACUCCGCACCUCAUGAUAAUGUCUUGCCAAAAACUCACUACCAACCCUCAAUGAUCCAGUACCGGACAAGCAUUGAACAGUUGUGACACGAUUCUCAAGGAUGGCAGGGCUAUAUAAAAGUAAGAAUUAGAAAUACGAUCCAAAAAGAGAAAACUAUUUAACCAAAGAUGCUGUUCCAAGUAUGAGCUAACCAACUGUAAAUAAUAUCGGUACAGCUUACCUGUCAGCGCCAAAAAUAAGCUUCGCACUCUGUUUAUUAAACUCCGCCAAUCCCACAAUCGGAAGAUACUCCUUAACUCGUGAACUGCAGGUCAUUAAAAUAAGAAGCUCAACAUAUAUCUACAUCAAGUAACAAUCCCAAGAGAAUGAAGAAAAAUACCUAUCAUUAACAAGCUGAUGCUCUGCUUUUCUGACAACGUUCAAUACAAGAGGUUUUCCUUCCUAUCAUAUCAAAAUACUACAAUAUUAAAAAAUUUCUAACUAGACACGCCAACUGCUUAGACAUCUCGAUAAUGAAUAAAUUAAAAGAUGCGACAAUCUAAAGCAACAGAUACGUACCUCUGUCCUAUAAGCACCAACGCCCAAAUUCAACUUGUUCGGACUCGGAUCUUUGUUGUAUGCAACAGUCACCUAUCCAUUCAACAUAGUGAUUUAUAUAUAUUAGCAAAAAUUGCAAAAAUUCGGAUAGAUAGUUAUAAAUAUGCAUUAAACAAAAAUAACGAGAAGAUUUUUGUCCGAUAGUCUUCUUAUUUCUUAAAAAUCUCCUUCGGCGUUUCUAAAGCCAUUAAACCAAGUGAUAAGCGGAACAAAUUUCCAAAACACAACAAAAUGACAUCAGAAGCAACAGCCAGUUAGAUUUCAAGAAAAACACACAAGCAACGAUCAUGAUCCACAAACAGCCAACGAAAAACUCCCGAUCACAACAAUCCAAAAGGCUCGACAUAGUUCAUUUCAAUAAAAUACCGUACAUAAUAGAAACAGAAAAGUCCGAAUCAGAGACGUGAAUAAUUAAAAACUUAAACUAAGAGCAAGAGAAGAGAAAGAAAAAACGAAAAGGAAAUCCGCUGAACUUGUCGGCAACGGAACAAAGAAAUGCAAGUGGAGAGAAAAUUGAUCAGCAGAGCAAAGAACGAAAAAAAAAAAAAAAACUACAAGGAUUGAUGGAAAGAGA
Molecule: long non-coding RNA, 27529 nt
Filed under: Cucumis sativus (cucumber)
Lineage: Eukaryota; Viridiplantae; Streptophyta; Magnoliopsida; Cucurbitales; Cucurbitaceae
Description: long non-coding RNA (CSAT_LNC001335)
Source: RNAcentral